GGUUAAGCGACUAAGCGUACACGGUGGAUGCCCUGGCAGUCAGAGGCGAUGAAGGACGUGCUAAUCUGCGAUAAGCGUCGGUAAGGUGAUAUGAACCGUUAUAACCGGCGAUUUCCGAAUGGGGAAACCCAGUGUGUUUCGACACACUAUCAUUAACUGAAUCCAUAGGUUAAUGAGGCGAACCGGGGGAACUGAAACAUCUAAGUACCCCGAGGAAAAGAAAUCAACCGAGAUUCCCCCAGUAGCGGCGAGCGAACGGGGAGCAGCCCAGAGCCUGAAUCAGUGUGUGUGUUAGUGGAAGCGUCUGGAAAGGCGCGCGAUACAGGGUGACAGCCCCGUACACAAAAAUGCACAUGCUGUGAGCUCGAUGAGUAGGGCGGGACACGUGGUAUCCUGUCUGAAUAUGGGGGGACCAUCCUCCAAGGCUAAAUACUCCUGACUGACCGAUAGUGAACCAGUACCGUGAGGGAAAGGCGAAAAGAACCCCGGCGAGGGGAGUGAAAAAGAACCUGAAACCGUGUACGUACAAGCAGUGGGAGCACGCUUCGGCGUGUGACUGCGUACCUUUUGUAUAAUGGGUCAGCGACUUAUAUUCUGUAGCAAGGUUAACCGAAUAGGGGAGCCGAAGGGAAACCGAGUCUUAACUGGGCGUUAAGUUGCAGGGUAUAGACCCGAAACCCGGUGAUCUAGCCAUGGGCAGGUUGAAGGUUGGGUAACACUAACUGGAGGACCGAACCGACUAAUGUUGAAAAAUUAGCGGAUGACUUGUGGCUGGGGGUGAAAGGCCAAUCAAACCGGGAGAUAGCUGGUUCUCCCCGAAAGCUAUUUAGGUAGCGCCUCGUGAAUUCAUCUCCGGGGGUAGAGCACUGUUUCGGCAAGGGGGUCAUCCCGACUUACCAACCCGAUGCAAACUGCGAAUACCGGAGAAUGUUAUCACGGGAGACACACGGCGGGUGCUAACGUCCGUCGUGAAGAGGGAAACAACCCAGACCGCCAGCUAAGGUCCCAAAGUCAUGGUUAAGUGGGAAACGAUGUGGGAAGGCCCAGACAGCCAGGAUGUUGGCUUAGAAGCAGCCAUCAUUUAAAGAAAGCGUAAUAGCUCACUGGUCGAGUCGGCCUGCGCGGAAGAUGUAACGGGGCUAAACCAUGCACCGAAGCUGCGGCAGCGACGCUGAUGCGUUGUUGGGUAGGGGAGCGUUCUGUAAGCCUGCGAAGGUGUGCUGUGAGGCAUGCUGGAGGUAUCAGAAGUGCGAAUGCUGACAUAAGUAACGAUAAAGCGGGUGAAAAGCCCGCUCGCCGGAAGACCAAGGGUUCCUGUCCAACGUUAAUCGGGGCAGGGUGAGUCGACCCCUAAGGCGAGGCCGAAAGGCGUAGUCGAUGGGAAACAGGUUAAUAUUCCUGUACUUGGUGUUACUGCGAAGGGGGGACGGAGAAGGCUAUGUUGGCCGGGCGACGGUUGUCCCGGUUUAAGCGUGUAGGCUGGUUUUCCAGGCAAAUCCGGAAAAUCAAGGCUGAGGCGUGAUGACGAGGCACUACGGUGCUGAAGCAACAAAUGCCCUGCUUCCAGGAAAAGCCUCUAAGCAUCAGGUAACAUCAAAUCGUACCCCAAACCGACACAGGUGGUCAGGUAGAGAAUACCAAGGCGCUUGAGAGAACUCGGGUGAAGGAACUAGGCAAAAUGGUGCCGUAACUUCGGGAGAAGGCACGCUGAUAUGUAGGUGAAGUCCCUUGCGGAUGGAGCUGAAAUCAGUCGAAGAUACCAGCUGGCUGCAACUGUUUAUUAAAAACACAGCACUGUGCAAACACGAAAGUGGACGUAUACGGUGUGACGCCUGCCCGGUGCCGGAAGGUUAAUUGAUGGGGUCAGCGCAAGCGAAGCUCUUGAUCGAAGCCCCGGUAAACGGCGGCCGUAACUAUAACGGUCCUAAGGUAGCGAAAUUCCUUGUCGGGUAAGUUCCGACCUGCACGAAUGGCGUAAUGAUGGCCAGGCUGUCUCCACCCGAGACUCAGUGAAAUUGAACUCGCUGUGAAGAUGCAGUGUACCCGCGGCAAGACGGAAAGACCCCGUGAACCUUUACUAUAGCUUGACACUGAACAUUGAGCCUUGAUGUGUAGGAUAGGUGGGAGGCUUUGAAGUGUGGACGCCAGUCUGCAUGGAGCCGACCUUGAAAUACCACCCUUUAAUGUUUGAUGUUCUAACGUUGACCCGUAAUCCGGGUUGCGGACAGUGUCUGGUGGGUAGUUUGACUGGGGCGGUCUCCUCCUAAAGAGUAACGGAGGAGCACGAAGGUUGGCUAAUCCUGGUCGGACAUCAGGAGGUUAGUGCAAUGGCAUAAGCCAGCUUGACUGCGAGCGUGACGGCGCGAGCAGGUGCGAAAGCAGGUCAUAGUGAUCCGGUGGUUCUGAAUGGAAGGGCCAUCGCUCAACGGAUAAAAGGUACUCCGGGGAUAACAGGCUGAUACCGCCCAAGAGUUCAUAUCGACGGCGGUGUUUGGCACCUCGAUGUCGGCUCAUCACAUCCUGGGGCUGAAGUAGGUCCCAAGGGUAUGGCUGUUCGCCAUUUAAAGUGGUACGCGAGCUGGGUUUAGAACGUCGUGAGACAGUUCGGUCCCUAUCUGCCGUGGGCGCUGGAGAACUGAGGGGGGCUGCUCCUAGUACGAGAGGACCGGAGUGGACGCAUCACUGGUGUUCGGGUUGUCAUGCCAAUGGCACUGCCCGGUAGCUAAAUGCGGAAGAGAUAAGUGCUGAAAGCAUCUAAGCACGAAACUUGCCCCGAGAUGAGUUCUCCCUGACUCCUUGAGAGUCCUGAAGGAACGUUGAAGACGACGACGUUGAUAGGCCGGGUGUGUAAGCGCAGCGAUGCGUUGAGCUAACCGGUACUAAUGAACCGUGAGGCUUAACCUU
Molecule: ribosomal RNA, 2904 nt
Filed under: Escherichia coli
Lineage: Bacteria; Pseudomonadati; Pseudomonadota; Gammaproteobacteria; Enterobacterales; Enterobacteriaceae
Description: 23S ribosomal RNA
Rfam family: Bacterial large subunit ribosomal RNA
Source: RNAcentral